RNAcentral lists this ribosomal RNA (776 nucleotides) under uncultured Neocallimastigales. RNAcentral describes it as "partial large subunit ribosomal RNA". It matches the Rfam family "Eukaryotic large subunit ribosomal RNA", at positions 21 to 643 of the family's 3401-position model. The record is from RNAcentral. Lineage: Eukaryota; Fungi; Neocallimastigomycota; Neocallimastigomycetes; Neocallimastigales.
UUAGAUGCGAGAGUAGAGCAUAUCAAUAAGCGGAGGAAAAGAAGCUAACAAGGAUUCCCCUAGUAACGGCGAGUGAAGCGGGAAGAGCUCAAAUUUGAAAUCUUCAAGGUUUGACCUUGACGAAUUGUAGUUUAAAGAAGUGUUUUCGGUUAGAGGAGUAGUAAAAGUUCUUUGGAAUAGGACAUCAUAGAGGGUGAGAAUCCCGUAUUUGACUAUUCUUUCUAGCUUUGUGAUACACUUUCAAAGAGUCGGAUUGUUUGGGAAUGCAGUCCAAAAUGGGUGGUAAAUUUCAUCUAAAGCUAAAUAUUGGCGAGAGACCGAUAGCGAACAAGUACCGUGAGGGAAAGAUGAAAAGAACUUUGAAAAGAGAGUUAAACAGUACGUGAAAUUGUCAAAAGGGAAGCGUUUGACACCAGUGUUGUUUUUCCGAAAAUCAAUUAAAAAUUGAUUCAUGCUAGGUUGUAUUGACCUUAUCAGCUUGCAAUUUGGUUUUGGGUCUCUUUUUGAUGCACUUUUCGGUUAACAAGUCAACAUCAAUUUCCUUUGCUGUAAAAAGGUAAGAGGAAGGUGGCUUCAAUUUCGGUUGAAGUGUUUAUAGCCUUUUAUCUCUGCAGUCGGGGAGAUUGAGGUCUGCAGCGUAGAUCCUUCGGGGCUAGAUACAUUUAUGCUAAGUUAUAGCUUUUCAUAGACAACUUGUUGACUAUGUUUAGUCAUGUAGCUUACUCGCUUACUGCUAUUUUACCUACGCUUAGGAUGUUGACACACGCGCGUGCUCG